RNAcentral lists this transfer RNA (93 nucleotides) under Rhodospirillales bacterium. RNAcentral's name for it is "tRNA-Ile". It matches the Rfam family "tRNA". From Rfam's summary of the family: Transfer RNA (tRNA) molecules are approximately 80 nucleotides in length. Their secondary structure includes four short double-helical elements and three loops (D, anti-codon, and T loops). The record is from RNAcentral. Lineage: Bacteria; Pseudomonadati; Pseudomonadota; Alphaproteobacteria; Rhodospirillales.
GGGGGUGUAGCUCAGCGGUAGAGCACCGGUCUUAUAAACCGUUUUCCCUAGAUAAGGGGGAGGUCGCGGGUUCGAGUCCCGCCGCCCCUACCA